Small nucleolar RNA from Rhododendron vialii, 108 nucleotides. RefSeq annotates it as small nucleolar RNA snoR100. The record is from RefSeq and is a predicted model, not a curated record. Lineage: Eukaryota; Viridiplantae; Streptophyta; Magnoliopsida; Ericales; Ericaceae. The transcript has a single exon.
UACGUACAGAAGCAUGGUAAUAUGCACAUAAAUUGAUUUGGGCCUCUAGGCCUGUCCUCUCUGAUGCCUUUCGACUUUGAUUUGAGGACAUGGUUCUGCAGCAAAACA